GACGAACGCUGGCGGCGUGCUUAACACAUGCAAGUCGAGCGGUAAGGCCCUUUCGGGGGUACACGAGCGGCGAACGGGUGAGUAACACGUGGGUGACCUGCCCUCAGCUCUGGGAUAAGCCUGGGAAACCGGGUCUAAUACUGGAUAUGACUCCAUGACGCAUGUUGUGGGGUGGAAAGCCUUGUGCGGCUGAGGAUGGGCCCGCGGCCUAUCAGCUUGUUGGUGGGGUGANGGCCUACCAAGGCGACGACGGGUAGCCGGCCUGAGAGGGCGACCGGCCACACUGGGACUGAGACACGGCCAGACUCCUACGGGAGGCAGCAGUGGGGAAUCUUGCGCAAUGGGCGAAAGCCUGACGCAGCGACGCCGCGUGAGGGAUGACGGCCUGUGUACGUA
This 396-nucleotide ribosomal RNA is filed under the name uncultured bacterium. RNAcentral's name for it is "bacterial SSU rRNA". It matches the Rfam family "Bacterial small subunit ribosomal RNA", at positions 28 to 427 of the family's 1533-position model. The record is from RNAcentral.